This 76-nucleotide transfer RNA is filed under the name Escherichia coli. RNAcentral describes it as "tRNA-OTHER". The record is from RNAcentral. Lineage: Bacteria; Pseudomonadati; Pseudomonadota; Gammaproteobacteria; Enterobacterales; Enterobacteriaceae.
GGGUGAUUAGCUCAGCUGGGAGAGCUCCUCACAUAGUCGGGGGGGGUCGGCGCUUCGUUCCCGUCAUCAUUCACCA